UACCUGGAACUUCGAUUUAAUAAACAAGUUCGUCUUGUUGGAACAGUUCUCUUUAUUGUUCAGAUGAUACUGUACAUUGGAAUUGUUAUUUAUGCUCCUGCUCUUGCUUUGAAUCAAGUCACAGGUUUUGAACUCUGGGGUGCAGUAGUUACAACAGGGAUUGUCUG
Molecule: non-coding RNA, 167 nt
Organism: Phascolarctos cinereus (koala)
Lineage: Eukaryota; Metazoa; Chordata; Mammalia; Diprotodontia; Phascolarctidae
Source: RefSeq, a predicted model, not a curated record